RNAcentral lists this ribosomal RNA (439 nucleotides) under Shewanella sp. RNAcentral's name for it is "bacterial SSU rRNA". It matches the Rfam family "Bacterial small subunit ribosomal RNA", at positions 556 to 995 of the family's 1533-position model. The record is from RNAcentral. Lineage: Bacteria; Pseudomonadati; Pseudomonadota; Gammaproteobacteria; Alteromonadales; Shewanellaceae.
GGGCGUAAGCGUGCGCAGGCGGUUUGUUAAGCCAGAUGUGAAAUCCCCGGGCUCAACCUGGGAAUUGCAUUUGGAACUGGCGAACUAGAGUCUUGUAGAGGGGGGUAGAAUUCCAGGUGUAGCGGUGAAAUGCGUAGAGAUCUGGAGGAAUACCGGUGGCGAAGGCGGCCCCCUGGACAAAGACUGACGCUCAUGCACGAAAGCGUGGGGAGCAAACAGGAUUAGAUACCCUGGUAGUCCACGCCGUAAACGAUGUCUACUCGGAGUUUGGUGCCUUGAGCACUGGGCUCUCAAGCUAACGCAUUAAGUAGACCGCCUGGGGAGUACGGCCGCAAGGUUAAAACUCAAAUGAAUUGACGGGGGCCCGCACAAGCGGUGGAGCAUGUGGUUUAAUUCGAUGCAACGCGAAGAACCUUACCUACUCUUGACAUCCACAGAA